This 253-nucleotide ribosomal RNA is filed under the name uncultured bacterium. RNAcentral's name for it is "partial 16S ribosomal RNA". It matches the Rfam family "Bacterial small subunit ribosomal RNA", at positions 524 to 776 of the family's 1533-position model. The record is from RNAcentral.
UACAGAGGUGGCAAGCGUUGUUCGGAAUUACUGGGCGUAAAGGGCGCGUAGGCGGUCUUGUAAGUCCUGUGUGAAAUCCCUCGGCUCAACCGAGGAACUGCACAGGAAACUGUGAGACUUGAGUUCGGGAGAGGGAAGCGGAAUUCCGGGUGUAGCGGUGAAAUGCGUAGAUAUCCGGAGGAACACCGGUGGCGAAGGCGGCUUCCUGGACCGACACUGACGCUGAGGCGCGAAAGCCAGGGGAGCAAACGGG